AGUUUUUACAGUCAAUGGAGUCAUCAGGAUCUGAAUAUCAUUGGCAUUUAACUGUGGAAGGAGAAAGGAUGAGGCUAUCACUGGCUCGGCCAGCAUUUAUUGCUGCGUUUACCCAGAGGGCAGUUAAGAAUCAACCACGUUGCUCUUGGUCUGGAGUCCCAUGCAGACCAGACCAGAGCUAGCUGAAGCACAGAUAAUUAUCCUUGGAGCUGAGAAGGUGAAGCAGUGAUUUUGACCUGGUGCCGAUUUUGUUCCAAUGUCUUGAAUUUGCAAAGAAAGAGAAGAAUUGUUAACC
Long non-coding RNA from Hemiscyllium ocellatum (epaulette shark), 295 nucleotides. RefSeq lists it as uncharacterized. The transcript has 3 exons. The record is from RefSeq and is a predicted model, not a curated record. Lineage: Eukaryota; Metazoa; Chordata; Chondrichthyes; Orectolobiformes; Hemiscylliidae.